UCGAGAAUUUUUCUCAAUGGGGGCAACCCUGAAGGAGCGACGCCGCGUGGAGGAUGAAGGUUUUCGGAUUGUAAACUCCUGUCAUUGGUGAACAAGACUGUCGUUUAACUGACGAACAGUUUGCUAGUAGCCGAAGAGGAAGGGACGGCUAACUCUGUGCCAGCAGCCGCGGUAAUACAGAGGUCCCGAGCGUUGUUCGGAUUCAUUGGGCGUAAAGGGUGCGUAGGCGGCGUGGUAAGUCUGAUGUGAAAUCCCGGGGCUCAACCCCGGAACUGCAUUGGAUACUGCCAUGCUAGAGUACUGGAGAGGAAACUGGAAUUUACGGUGUAGCAGUGAAAUGCGUAGAGAUCGUAAGGAAGACCAGUGGCGAAGGCGAGUUUCUGGACAGUAACUGACGCUGAGGCACGAAGGCCAGGGGAGCAAACGGGAUUAGAUACCCCUGUAGUCC
RNAcentral lists this ribosomal RNA (448 nucleotides) under uncultured bacterium. RNAcentral's name for it is "bacterial SSU rRNA". It matches the Rfam family "Bacterial small subunit ribosomal RNA", at positions 355 to 796 of the family's 1533-position model. The record is from RNAcentral.